RNAcentral lists this long non-coding RNA (2288 nucleotides) under Homo sapiens (human). RNAcentral's name for it is "HSALNT0214864". Lineage: Eukaryota; Metazoa; Chordata; Mammalia; Primates; Hominidae. The record is from RNAcentral.
GUCAGGUCCGCUGAAUGUUACACAGAGGUGGACCCGGGUGGAUGCUGAGCACCCGUCACGGCUCAGAAAUCUCAAGCUUGGGAAACAAUCGUUUAGAGAAGGCUGCUAGCACUCCUGCCCGCGUUUUGCCCUGGAGGGAGACACUAUUCUCCAAAGUGAGAGGUAUGAUUUUAUUAUCCUGGUCAGGAGGAAAAAUCUGCUCUCUUUCCAGGAGGGAGAAACUAUCUGGAUCAUCUGAGAUACUCAAGUACUCUUAAAAAGACAGUCUGGAAUAAAAGCUGUCAAAGACUUUUCACUAUACAUGCAGAAAUGCAAGCGACCCAUGGAGAAUUGUCUUCAAAUAGUCUAGAAGGGGUUCUUCUGUUCCUGUCUGCUCUGGCCAACCUGUUAUCCUUCAAAACCUAGCGCAGGCACCCCUGUCUGCAGGACGCCCUCUUUCCUUGCUCCAGGCUGGUUACACGCCCUCCAUUCUGCAGGACCUGUAAAGUACUGUGCCUUCUGCUGGUCACAUUGAACUGGAAGUAGCCCCACGGCUCAGCAACCCCCAGGUUUGAGUCUUGUUCUCACUCUAGACCAUAAAAAUUCCUUCCUACAGAUUUGGAAAAGAUGUCCCUUCCUCUGAGUGGACGUGGGCCCAAGACAGGGUGUAGGCUCUGACAAGUGGCACAUAGACUGAAUUUCAGCUCCACUUGUCCCCUCAGCCAUGCAACUUUGGCAGUGAACACCCUCUGUGCCCAUAUGGGCUAGCCUUGAAUUGAUUUACCUUUUCAAGAAGAUCCGAGACUUCCCGUACCUGCCCCCACCCAGGAACUUGGAGGAUCCCUGCAACAAACCUGGAAGGUUAGGAUAGAAUAUGCAUUCUCAUUUUAAGAAUGGGGAAACAGAGGCAUGAAGCUAUUAAGGACGUGCACAGGGUUUGCAGCUGGGCUGGAGCCCAGGUCUUCUGGCUCUAGUUCAGUUCUUCCCACUGUACUGCUGAGUAGGUUUUCUGACCCUGAAGACAAACAUUUCAGUUUCCUGCUGGCUUAGGGCUGUGUGGGCUGCAAAGAGGAGGUUCUGGUACAGCUUUCCUGGAAGCCAGCAUUUCCCAGCAAACUGGGGAGGAGAAAAGCUACCACUGGGAGGUGGCACUUUUCUCUCCAAAGCCCUUCUCCAUGUGACCUUCCUGUGAAGGUAAGGCCUGCUGCCAGCCACAGCUGCUUCCUCUCCUCCACCAAUGAGCCCUCUGAGCCCUGGAUCCCAGCCAGCUGAGCGGGUACCUGGCAACCAGACUCGCAAAUGUGUGCCCAGCUUUGCCCUGAUGAGUGGGGAGGGCAGGCAUCAGAACCCAGAGCAGGGCAGGUGCCUCAUUUACCCUCUGAACCCCAGCUCCACCCCAAGCCUGGGCCAUACCUGGCCCACAGGGUGGUUGGGGAAACAAAAUCCCCUAACCUUUCCCACCAGGCUUAUGAGCCUGAAGAUGGGUUUUGAAGAAUGUAUGGACAUCUGCCAGCACCUGUGAGACUGCAUAGGCCCAGCAGGUGGCAGGGUGCUGCUGGCCUGAGAGCUGGGGAAUGAGGCUGUGUUGCCCAGGCCAGCCCAGGACCGACGGGAGCUUGGAAGCAGAGGAAGAGUGCUGUCUGCAUUGGCAGGGAUUGGGGUGAGGGUGGUGGGGGGCAAUCUGGGAUCAUGGCUGGGUGUCCUCACCAUCUGGGUAUUUGCCUUUUAUUCAACAUUGGUGACGCCAACCUCCAGGACCAGGAUGCAUCUGGCACCACACCUUGCAGCUCCCAUCGUGCUGGCCCAGGUCCAGAGUCUAACAGGUGUUUGUUGACUGGCUGAGUGAGCUGGUUGGUGCCCAGGAAUUUAACUCAGCCCAUUCCAGCUGCCAUUACCUGGAUGCCCAGCUCAGGGCCACUCAUGCUGGUGCUCCACAUGAGCUCUGCGCUGGUUCUCAGGGCCUCGCAAAGCGCUGACCUGUGGGAAGCACUCAUGAGUACCUACUUCCAAUCAAUGCUGAGGACACAGACACAAAUGGUGCAACUCUGGUGGAGAAAACAGAGGCCUCAGCUGGGUGCAGUGGCUCACACCUGUAAUCCCAGCACUUUGGGAGGCCAAGGCAGCUGGAUUACUUGAGGUCAGGAGUUUGAGACCAGCCUGGCCAAUAUGGCAAAACCCCGUCUCUACUGAAAAUACAAAAAUUAGCCAGGCGUGGUGGCGGGCGCCUGUAAUCCCAGCUACUCGAGAAGCAGAGGCAGGAGAAUUGCUUGAACCCGGGAGGCAGAGGUUGCACAGUGAGCUGAGAUUGA